CUUCCACGUCAUAAUGUUUCCAGAAGUUACUGCUGUUUAGGCCAUAUAGAGAGCCUGUCCACAUGAACACUUCUCAUAGAACUGAAUCUGGUUUACUUUGUAAUGGCAUGCACAACGCGUGUUUACUAUGUCUCAUGUAAACACUGAAGUCAUGGGAAAAUCUCAAAGCAGUGCUGAUCUUUCACAAAUGAACUGUAGGACUAAACCAUUCACAAGACCUGAUUCUCUCAACAUACCAUGAAGAAGAUGAAACAAUGGUGUCUGUAUUGCCAGUGGCAGCACAGCAAUCCAGGACUGGACAUGGUGUGGUUAUUAGUGAUCUGGAGGUUCUCCAUAAACACCAGAAGAUGCAUGGGCAUGCUUUUCAUUACUCACUGGAGAGGCAGCUCAGCAGCUGAGCUUAUACAGACCUUGCAGCCCUGAAGAGAAGCUCAGACACUGGACCAGGGUUUUCCAGUUUCUCAGUCCUUCUGCAGUCUGUAUAUCUGAAUUAUAUUUAUAGCACAUUGUUUCCA
Non-coding RNA from Coturnix japonica (Japanese quail), 515 nucleotides. NCBI's taxonomy places the organism in Eukaryota, Metazoa, Chordata, Aves, Galliformes, Phasianidae. The record is from RefSeq and is a predicted model, not a curated record.